CCUAGGGUCGCUCCAGUGGGGAAUAUUGCACAAUGGGGGAAACCCUGAUGCAGCCAUGCCGCGUGUGUGAAGAAGGCCUUCGGGUUGUAAAGCACUUUCAGUAGGGAGGAAGGUAGUGUAGUUAACACCUGCAUUAUUUGACGUUACCUACAGAAGAAGCACCGGCUAGCCUCCGUGCCAGCAGCCGCGGUAAUACGGAGGGUGCGAGCGUUAAUCGGAAUUACUGGGCGUAAAGCGCAUGCAGGCGGCCUGUUAAGUCAGAUGUGAAAGCCCGGGGCUUAACCUCGGAAUUGCAUUUGAAACUGGCAGGCUAGAGUCUUGUAGAGGGGGGUAGAAUUUCAGGUGUAGCGGUGAAAUGCGUAGAGAUCUGAAGGAAUACCAGUGGCGAAGGCGGCCCCCUGGACAAAGACUGACGCUCAGAUGCGAAAGCGUGGGGAGCAAACAGGAUUAGAUACCCGCGUAGUC
Molecule: ribosomal RNA, 465 nt
Filed under: uncultured bacterium
Lineage: Bacteria
Description: partial 16S ribosomal RNA
Rfam family: Bacterial small subunit ribosomal RNA
Source: RNAcentral